UCAGAGAAGAAAGAUAUGCUGUCUUCCCCACUGGACAAGAGACAGUUUUAUUCACCUUUAUAAGCUGGGGAAACUGAGCCUUAUAGAUCCUAUGGCUUGCUCCAAAUUAAUGGCAGAGCUAAGUUGUACACACAGGUCACUAUUGAAAACAAACAACUAUGGGCUUGGCAGUCAGGGAUUUAUGUCCUUAUUUUAUCUCUGCCUCAAAAAGGCUGGAUGUAUUGGAUAAAUGACUAAACCUCUCUGUGCCUAAGUCAAAUGAUGAUAGUAAUGCCACUCUUCCCACUACAAGAAACUGCUAGGAUAAAUGGUAUUAGGUCUGAUAUGAUUCUAACUCACCAUGCUAUGAAACAAAAAUCUUCAUAGAAUGGAAUGGAUUGGCUUCAGCUAAUGAUCCAUUUCUUUGACACAACACUUGAAGCAUGUGAAUAGGAGAGCUGACCACCCACAUACCCACCCCCUCACCAGCAACAAAAACAAGAAGAAUAAAGCCAAUACUGAGGAAAUCAGAAUUGAAAA
This is a non-coding RNA of Microcebus murinus (gray mouse lemur), 519 nucleotides long. Lineage: Eukaryota; Metazoa; Chordata; Mammalia; Primates; Cheirogaleidae. The record is from RefSeq and is a predicted model, not a curated record.